Molecule: ribosomal RNA, 408 nt
Filed under: uncultured bacterium
Lineage: Bacteria
Description: partial 16S ribosomal RNA
Rfam family: Bacterial small subunit ribosomal RNA
Source: RNAcentral
GACGAACGCUGACGGCGUGCUUAACACAUGCAAGUCGAAGGGAGUGGCGAACGGGUGAGUAACACGUGAGUAACCUGUCCUUUUCUUUGGGAUAAGCCUGGGAAACUGGGUCUCAUACUGGAUGGAUUGGGAUGGGCUCGCGGCUUGUUAGCUUGUUGGUGGGGGUCUAGCUUACCAAGGCUUUGACGGGUAGCCGGCCUGAGAGGGUGGUCGGUCGCGCUGAGGCUGGGGUACGGCCCAGAGUCCGACGUGGGGCAGCAGUGGCGGAUAGUGGACCAUGGACGAAAGUCGGAUGCAGCGACGUCGUGUGUGGGUUGAGGGCCUUCGGGUUGUAAACACCUUUCACCCGCGGAAUGGUAGUGGGUAAAUAAGCGCCGGCUAACUACGUGCCAGCAGCCGCGGUAAUUC